UACGUAGGGUGCGAGUGUUAAUCGGAAUUACUGGGCGUAAAGCGUGCGUAGGCGGUCCGCAAAGUCUGAUGUGAAAGCCCCGGGCUCAACCUGGGAACUGCAUUGGAAACUAACGGGCUCGAGUGUGGCAGAGGGGGGUGGAAUUCCACGUGUAGCAGUGAAAUGCGUAGAGAUGUGGAGGAACACCGAUGGCGAAGGCAGCCCCCUGGGCUAACACUGACGCUCAGGCACGAAAGCGUGGGGAGCAAACAGG
This 253-nucleotide ribosomal RNA is filed under the name uncultured bacterium. RNAcentral's name for it is "partial 16S ribosomal RNA". It matches the Rfam family "Bacterial small subunit ribosomal RNA", at positions 524 to 776 of the family's 1533-position model. The record is from RNAcentral.